CGGUGGUGUGGGCCAGGGGCGGGGGUGAGACGAAGGGUGGUGGGGUGGCGGGGAAGUUCGGGGCGUAAAGCGUGCGUAGGUGGGUCGUUAAGUCGGAUGUGAAGGGCCUGGGGUCAACCGGGGGAUGGCAUUGGAAACUGGCGAGCUAGAGUGCGGUAGAGGGUAGUGGAAUUCCCGGUGGAGCAGUGAAAUGCGUAGAGAUCGGGAGGAACAUCUGUGGCGAAGGCGACUGCCUGGACCAGCACUGACACUGAGGCACGAAAGCGUGGGGAGCAAACAGGAUUAGAUACCCUAGUAGUC
This 300-nucleotide ribosomal RNA is filed under the name uncultured Methanomassiliicoccus sp. RNAcentral describes it as "bacterial SSU rRNA". The stretch from base 52 to 300 matches the Rfam family "Bacterial small subunit ribosomal RNA", at positions 547 to 795 of the family's 1533-position model. The record is from RNAcentral. Lineage: Archaea; Methanobacteriati; Thermoplasmatota; Thermoplasmata; Methanomassiliicoccales; Methanomassiliicoccaceae.